GUGGGGAAUAUUGGACAAUGGGGGAAACCCUGAUCCAGCGACGCCGCGUGUGUGAAGAAGGCCUGCGGGUUGUAAAGCACUUUUAGUGGGGAUGAAAUGUGCAGGGCUAAUACCUCUGCAUUUUGACCUAACCCACAGAAAAAGCACCGGCUAACUCUGUGCCAGCAGCCGCGGUAAUACAGAGGGUGCAAGCGUUAAUCGGAAUUACUGGGCGUAAAGCGUGCGUAGACGGUUACAUAAGUCGGGUGUGAAAGCCCCGGGCUCAACCUGGGAAGUGCAUUCGAGACUGCGUAGCUAGGGUGCGGAAGAGGGAAGCGGAAUUUCCGGUGUAGCGGUGAAAUGCGUAGAUAUCGGAAGGAACACCAGUGGCGAAAGCGGCUUCCUGGUCCAGCACCGACGUUCAGGCACGAAAGCGUGGGGAGCAAACAGGAUUAGAUACCCUGGUAGUCC
This 450-nucleotide ribosomal RNA is filed under the name uncultured bacterium. Its description in RNAcentral is "partial 16S ribosomal RNA". It matches the Rfam family "Bacterial small subunit ribosomal RNA", at positions 354 to 796 of the family's 1533-position model. The record is from RNAcentral.